UGUACGAAAAUAACCCCUUCCCGUUCUCGUGUUUGUGCAAUAAAGAAAAAGGAAAAGAACAAGUGAAGCAUAUCCAAUUGAUGUCAGCAGUUGAUGUAGCAGACGCAUUGGUAGGAGCCUUGACGGAGGUUGGCUAAACAAACGCCGUUACCGUUCUUCUGUGACAGACAGCUUUGCUUGCACGACGUCAGACUGCAACUCCCUGGGUUCAUCAUUGAGCAGAAGCAUCCAUUCGACAGGAGUGAAGAGGAUGGGAGGAGGGCAUGGGCAUGGGCAUGAGGAGCCGUACUACCUUCACGCGAAGCAUAUGUACAACUUGGACAGGAUAUGAAGCAUCAGGGCCUUAAGAUGUCUCUUGCUGUUUUCACUGCCUUCACCAUUGGAGUGGCUGUUCCUGUCUACGCCGUCAUCUUCCAGCAGAAGAAGACUGCCUCUGCUUGACCUCUGCUCUUCCAAUAUCUUCUUUCUCAGUUGCUGGCUGUUUCAUGUGUCAGAAAUAUGGCAUCUUUUUAUGCUGUAGAUAAUUUAUUACCACAUGUCUGAGUUGUCGUCAGAAUCGGCAGUUGACCA
Molecule: long non-coding RNA, 570 nt
Organism: Tarenaya hassleriana
Lineage: Eukaryota; Viridiplantae; Streptophyta; Magnoliopsida; Brassicales; Cleomaceae
Exons: 2
Source: RefSeq, a predicted model, not a curated record